UUGGAGGGCAAGUCUGGUGCCAGCAGCCGCGGUAAUUCCAGCUCCAAUAGCGUAUAUUAAAGUUGUUGCAGUUAAAAAGCUCGUAGUUGAAUUUCGGGGUCAGUAGGUCGGUCGUGCCACUGGUAUGAACUGGUUUUACUGAUUCCUCCCUCUUGAAGAACUGUAAUGCCAUUAAUUUGGUGUUGCAGGGAAUCAGGACUGUUACUUUGAAAAAAUUAGAGUGUUUAAAGCAGGCUUUAGCUUGAAUACAUUAGCAUGGAAUAAUGAAAUAGGACGUUCGAUCCUAUUUUGUUGGUUUCUAGGAUUGACGUAAUGAUUAAUAGGGAUAGUUGGGGGCAUUAGUAUUCAAUUGUCAGAGGUGAAAUUCUUGGAUUUAUUGAAGACUAACUACUGCGAAAGCAUUUGCCAAGGAUGUUUUCAUUAAUCAAGAACGAAAGUUAGGGGAUCGAAGACGAUCAGAUACCGUCGUAGUCUUAACCAUAAACUAUGCCGACUAGGGAUCGGAUGAUGUUAAUUUUUUAAUGACUCAUUCGGCGCCUUACGGGAAAC
Molecule: ribosomal RNA, 549 nt
Filed under: uncultured Glomeromycotina
Lineage: Eukaryota; Fungi; Glomeromycota
Description: SSU rRNA
Rfam family: Eukaryotic small subunit ribosomal RNA
Source: RNAcentral